UACAGAGGGGGCAAGCGUUGUUCGGAAUUACUGGGCGUAAAGGGCGCGUAGGCGGCCUUCUAAGUCGAACGUGAAAUCCCUGGGCUCAACCCAGGAACUGCGUCCGAUACUGGAAGGCUUGAAUCCGGGAGAGGGAUGCGGAAUUCCAGGUGUAGCGGUGAAAUGCGUAGAUAUCUGGAGGAACACCGGUGGCGAAGGCGGCAUCCUGGACCAACACUGACACUGAUGAGCGAAAGCCAGGGGAGCAAACGGG
This 253-nucleotide ribosomal RNA is filed under the name uncultured bacterium. RNAcentral's name for it is "partial 16S ribosomal RNA". It matches the Rfam family "Bacterial small subunit ribosomal RNA", at positions 524 to 776 of the family's 1533-position model. The record is from RNAcentral.